Molecule: ribosomal RNA, 894 nt
Filed under: Triticum aestivum (bread wheat)
Lineage: Eukaryota; Viridiplantae; Streptophyta; Magnoliopsida; Poales; Poaceae
Description: partial small subunit ribosomal RNA
Source: RNAcentral
AUGUACAGAUUGCGAAGGUGGCCAGACCUCCCGGGGGGUCUAAUGUAUUGUAUCAUUGCUCGGCUGUGCCUGGUCUCGUUCUCUGAUCUUGUUGCCUUUUCUGCUACCUCUCGCUCUUGGCGUGCCGCUUUCUCCACCUUGGUGCCGCUCCUCCCACCUCUCCUUCUCCGGCCUUAUGUCCCUAUGUGCUUUCCGUGUCGUCCUCCCAUGACCAACAACCUGGUACCAACACGGCCAUGCCAUGCCACUAAUAUAGCAAACCAAGACACCUACCAGUGCUGUCAGAUUCCCAUACAUAGUAUCUUUGGUGAAAACAAUACCCCACCAAGCCCUCUAAAAGGGUUUCGCUUUAGUGUUGCUUCCUAUGGUCAUCUCAUUUUCUCAAGAGAUAAAUCAUGUGUCGUUGUUGAUGUGUUCACAGAUGUUAGUGUCUCAUCCCCACAACUAUCGGUCAUUAAGGACAUCAGGCUCUUCUAUGCUGCCAUCACAACUCCUCUAGCAUGACCUAACUCACAUAUCAUUGUUUAUAUUGGACCGCACAAUUUGUUUUGGCAUGUUGGUAGUCAAUAUUGGGUGAGACGUUCUCCUGACGAUGGACCAAUCAAGCAAAUAGUGGUCUUCAAAGGGCGUGUUUUUGGCAUCGAUUCGGAUCUCAAACUCUUCAAAGUGCAGUUGACACCCCGGAUUUGCAUAAAGGAAAUACCCGUUAUGGAGUCAAGUAUAAUUAGGAAAUGGCACCAUUCCAAUAGAUGGCUGGUGAUUUGCGGCGAUCUGCUUCUCUUGGUGGCCUUGCGAGGACCCAUUAUAGUAACAGGAGUGACCUUUGAAGUCUUCCACCUUACUUAUCGACGGAACCUCACUAGUAGAAAAGGGGGCAUUUGUCCCGGUUCGUAA